RNAcentral lists this non-coding RNA (650 nucleotides) under Pongo abelii (Sumatran orangutan). Lineage: Eukaryota; Metazoa; Chordata; Mammalia; Primates; Hominidae. The record is from RNAcentral.
AAAUUACCAUACUUAAUGUAUGCCCCAGAUUAUCCAGAGUUCUCCAAAGAAACAGAUCCAGUCGGUGACUAAACAAGUACUCGCUGCUAUAUUAUCCAGGCCAUUUGCUUGAUCAUUUCCUCUGGUUUAAAGCAAGUAUUUGUUCUUUCAAGUAUUUGUUUUGCUUGGGCUCCAAAAGUUAAAGAGGAAACUUUCUAUCACCCCCUAAGUGGAAGCCAAUAUCAUUUGUCACAAGUUUAAAGAUGGAAGAAAGCCUGGAUGACAGCACAUCUGUUGAAAGCAUGGCUUACUGAAUAUUUUAAGCCCAUUGGUGAGAUCUACUGCUUGGAAAAAAAAUAAUUCCUUUCAGAAUAUUGCUGCUAAUUGACAAUACACUUGGUUGCCCAAGAGUUCUGAUGGACAGAUACAAAGAAAUUGAUCUUGUUUUCAUGCCUGCUAACACAAGAUCUGUCUACAGUCCAUGGAUCAAGCAUAAUUUCAACUUCAAGUCUUAUUAUUUAAGAAAUACAUUUGGUAAGACCACAGCUGACAUAGCUUGUGAUUCCUCUGAUGGAUCUGGGCAAAGUCAGUUAAAAUCUUCUGAAAAGGAUUCACAAUUCUAGAUGCCAUUGAGAACAUUUAUGAUUCACAGGAAGAGGUCAAAACAUCAA